RNAcentral lists this transfer RNA (86 nucleotides) under Candidatus Peribacteria bacterium. RNAcentral's name for it is "tRNA-Leu". It matches the Rfam family "tRNA". Rfam says of the family: Transfer RNA (tRNA) molecules are approximately 80 nucleotides in length. The record is from RNAcentral. Lineage: Bacteria; Candidatus Peregrinibacteriota; Candidatus Peribacteria.
GCCCAGAUGGUGGAAUUGGUAGACACAGGGGACUCAAAAUCCCCCGGCCAUCGGCUGUGAGGGUUCGAGUCCCUCUCUGGGUACCA